Molecule: long non-coding RNA, 662 nt
Filed under: Equus caballus (horse)
Lineage: Eukaryota; Metazoa; Chordata; Mammalia; Perissodactyla; Equidae
Description: lncRNA (ENSECAG00000055828.1)
Source: RNAcentral
GUAUGGAUGACUGAAAAGGAACAAGAGGGAACUUUAUGAGCACAAAUUCAGCGAUGUUUAGAGCCAAUGAGAGUCAGCUGCAGAUGACCACAGUAGCCCAAACGAGAAGGAACAAUUUACGUGAUGGGAGAAAAUGCUCCAACAUGUGAAGAAAAAGUGACCACUCCUCUUUAUGAUGAGAAAUUAGACAAACUGAUAAUCAGCAGCUCUUCAUGGACUUAUCAGAGAACUGAAGUUGCAGGGCAAUCUGCCACUCUAAAAUUUGGAGACCCAGGCCCGACUACUGAGACCCCACCAGAUCUCCUCACCUGGAGCAGAAUCUAUGGAACCGUAACUGACAGAAACAUUUAACUGAUAAUUUUGAUGAACUGUUGGGAAAUGAAUGUAGACUUGUGUCAGAAGGAAAAACUCCUGGGGCAGCAGUCUUAAAAGUGUCCCAUACUCAGGGGCUUUACCUGCGGGAAAACCACCAGGUUCUCAUAACGAAAAUCCAAGAAAAGUUCUCCACAUUGUCUAGAAGGGGGAGGAGAAGAAUAAUCAUUGUGAAAUAUACCUAGAGACUUCUCCAUAACAACGACCUACUUUCCAGGGGGAAAAACUUUGCCAGAGACUUAUCUCAGUUGGAGGAAGACCAUUCCUCCAACGCCAGGCCCUUCUUGUCU